Molecule: long non-coding RNA, 210 nt
Filed under: Panax ginseng (ginseng)
Lineage: Eukaryota; Viridiplantae; Streptophyta; Magnoliopsida; Apiales; Araliaceae
Description: long non-coding RNA (PGIN_LNC005743)
Source: RNAcentral
UUUUAAAUAUUUUAUAUUAAUGGGUUUGUACACAAGAAGAGGAGGUAAAAACUAUAAAUUAUUAGAUUAAUACCAUUUUUUAUGAAUAAUUUGAACCACCUGGCCUCUUCAUAAAAAUCUUCCGGCGUCCUAUGCACAUGCCACAUACAAGUCGUAGAAAUUUGCCUUGUUUUGUCAUAUAACUACUAGAAUGAUAUAGUUAUGUACACA